CCUACGGGGGGCAGCAGUGAGGAAUAUUGGUCAAUGGCCGGAAGGCUGAACCAGCCAUGCCGCGUGAAGGUCAGUGCCCUAUGGGCGUUAAACUUCUUUUGUGCGGGAGCAAUAAUGGUCACGUGUGGCCAGACGAGAGUACCGUACGAAUAAGCAUCGGCUAACUCCGUGCCAGCAGCCGCGGUAAUACGGGGGAUGCAAGCGUUAUCCGGAUUUAUUGGGUUUAAAGGGUGCGUAGGCUGUGAGGUAAGUCAGCGGUGAAAUGCCCCCGCUCAACGGGGUGAAGUGCCAUUGAUACUGCCUGGCUGGAAUGCGGAUGCCGUGGGAGGAAUGUGUGGUGUAGCGGUGAAAUGUAUAGAUAUCACACAGAACACCGAUUGCGAAGGCAUCUCACGAAGCCGCGAUUGACGCUGAUGCACGAAAGCGUGGGUAUCAAACAGGAUUAGAUACCCUGGUAGUC
Molecule: ribosomal RNA, 460 nt
Filed under: uncultured bacterium
Lineage: Bacteria
Description: partial 16S ribosomal RNA
Rfam family: Bacterial small subunit ribosomal RNA
Source: RNAcentral